This is a small nucleolar RNA of Quercus robur (English oak), 65 nucleotides long. RefSeq annotates it as small nucleolar RNA snoR60. The record is from RefSeq and is a predicted model, not a curated record. The transcript has a single exon. NCBI's taxonomy places the organism in Eukaryota, Viridiplantae, Streptophyta, Magnoliopsida, Fagales, Fagaceae.
GUGCAUGUGAUGAAUACUCAGGUUCCCAUUCAAGACAUAAUGGGGGAGCCCAAGUUUCUGAUGCU